Molecule: long non-coding RNA, 14134 nt
Filed under: Nicotiana tabacum (common tobacco)
Lineage: Eukaryota; Viridiplantae; Streptophyta; Magnoliopsida; Solanales; Solanaceae
Description: long non-coding RNA (NTAB_LNC001401)
Source: RNAcentral
AAAGGAGGGACCUAAAAAAUCUAAAAGAAAAAAAAAGAACACUCUAGAGAAAAGCUGCCAGCCGCAACUUUACAGAGGAAUCCCCACCCCCUAACGUCUUCUUCUAGGCAGAACACCAAAGAACCCCUUUGAUCUUCUUCUUCCUCAUUCCAACAAUAGUAUUCCAGCAUCUAGAGAAGGGCUAGGAAAUCCACAGUUUCAACACCAGAGAUCCUCCCAAACACAAAGGAUCAGUUGCUCUCAAUUUCAUCGAUCGGUGCAUUUCGGAAUUUUAUUCCAUUUUUUAAUUUUUCCGGCGUAGUCAGGAAGGAAAAUGUGGCAUUGUUGGAUUAAUUGCUCGAUUAGUGUUAAUUUUCAAGCCACAGUGGCAAGAAGCAAAUUCGUAGGCGUUUCUUGUGGAAAUUAGGGAACGAAUUGGAUGUUUACGAAGGUUAUGAGUUUGAUUACGUUCAACUCGACAGUUGAUUUCUUGGUUGUCCGCUGAGUGUCGAUUUCGGGUCCCUGCUCGUGUUUUAGGGAUUUGGGAGGCAAUAUUUCAAAUUUCAUUUGGCAAAAUAUAUUUGAGAGUCGAGGUUUCCGAUCUGAUUUAGUGAGGUUUCCGGUCGGGGUCCUGUUCGAGUUUUCGAUUCCGAUGGUGUUGUCAAAUUUUAGUUUCCUAGCUGAGCGGUCAUUGCUAUUGUACAAAGUUCGGUUUGGAUUUUUCUUUGUCAAUACAUUGAAGAUUCUUUUCUACCCGUGAAGGUCCGUUACUUUUAAUUUUGCCAAUAUUUGAACAAAUGAAUGCAUCUUCUUUAAAUUCUUAGUUCAAUAUUUGCAUAAAACUAGCAUGCCAUCUUUAGUGUUUAACGUUCUUAGCAAAAUCUGAUAAAGUUUAUUUGAUUGAAAGUUUUAUUCAUUUUAAUAUUUACGGUGAGUUUCAAAUGUCUUGUGCUAUGUUUAUUAGAGCUAGAUAAUAGCAGUAUUUCUUCGUAAAGAAUUCCUAAGAUUGAAAGGCUUAGUGACUUGGGAGUUGACAUUGUUGCCUGUUGGUAGUGACUUGCUGUCAUUGAAUUCCCUUGGUAUCAUAGAUUUCAAAGCUCAAGAAUUUCAAAUAGUAAUAAGGAGGAAAGUACAUAUUCUGUCACUAAAAUCAUUUUCUGCUGCUGAGUUUGCUGCAUUCUACCUCAAAGUUUGAACCUUCUGUUCCUUGACUUGAUAUCCAGUACACAAGGAUUAUUUUGAAAACAAUAUACAUGUCUUUUAUUUUUACACUUUCUAAAUAUGUUGAGUGGUAACAAUAAAUAUAUAGAUAUUACGUAUAUUUAUUUAUUUUCCCCAUAAAAAAGCACACAUAAUUUGGAUUGCUAGAUAAGAAUUAAUAUGCCAUUAUAACUAGUGUUGCCAUAAGCCCUCCCACGUUCCUUCCAUAAAUAGUUCAUAGAUAGUUCUCUAGUAGUUUGCUUUAGGCGCGUUAAUUAUAUAAUUAUCACGGCUAAUACUAAAAUCUGGGGGUACAUUUCAUGUGACCCGGUUCUAAUUCCAACAAGGGUAGAUAGAACGUGUUGUGAAUUACGGGUGCAUUUCAUGUGGCGUGUCUUGGGAUAUGUUUUAAAUAACCUUGAAUUAAUUCUUUAAAUGAGUAAAAGCGGUUUUCAAAAGUUAAAAUGCACAUAGGUUUAAAAGUGUUUUAAAAUCGGAUAAUUAGGACAAUUAUAACAGUUGAGCGACCGUGCUAGAACCACGAACUCGGGAGUGCCUAACACCUUCUCCCGGGUUAACAGAAUUCCUUACUCGAAUUUCUGGUUUGCGAACUAUUAAACAGAGUCGAUUUUUCCUCGAUUCGGGAUUCAACCGGUGAUUUGGGAUACCAUAAAUCUCCCGAGUGGUGACUCUGAAUCUUUAAAUAAACAAAUCCCGUUUCGAUUGUCCUUUAAUUGAAAAAACUCACUUGUGUUUAUACCCUUUACGGGGUGUAGUAAAAAAGGAGGUGUGACAACCUAUAAGUGUGUUGCUACCCGUCCCUUCUUUGUGGUCCUGGAGGAGUUUAAGACCUCUAAAUCUGGGCAGUUUUAGAUAGCCUAAGGUGUUUAAAAUAGAAAAUCUAGGCGACAAGCAAAGAACAUAUAGGACAAUCAAAUAGGGAGAAGCAGUUAAGGCUCAUGUUUAACUCCACAUGUAUAUAAGCAAAUAAGCAGCACGUCUCAAACAACUAAUUUUGAAUAAGUUCAGAAAGCCUAGGAACAUGAUAUCUAGAUGAACAAUCACAAAACAAAACAUGCAGCGUUUGUAGAAGUGGCAAAAUCCUAACCAGUUGCCUACUAGUUUUAUAGCCUGUUAAACCUGGAUAAUUUCACACAUAAACAGGACUGGUUUCAAAAAUAUUUAACGUUCUAAGGCUUGCCUAAGUGUGUAUAUGCAAUCACGAUUCUGGGAAAAAGUUUGAAGUUCUUUUAUCCUAUAGGCAAGCUUUCCAGUGACAUUUAACAAGACACUGUAUGAAGUUCCAGUUUUAGUACUUAAUGCAUAUGAUAAUUACCCUAUGGACAUGAGUUCUAUCUCUAAUGAGUGAAACUGGUAUUAGUUCUUAUUAGACACGCAUAUUGACUGAGCAAGUGUGACAACCAGUUAAACCUACAUGCAUGAUUUCUAAAGAGAUGGAUUUGAAUAUAUGCUAUAAUGAAAGUUGAACCUUAGUUAUUUUAUUCCCUAUAGGCAUGGCGUCUAAUCAUGUAAAGCAAAGUAGACCGAACUUAUUUCAACCAAAGCAAACCCUAUAGGCAGGUUAUCUAACAAAGCACAUUUGAGCCAAAGUAAAUCCUAUAGGCAUGUUAUCUAGCACGCAAUAGUGAUUGGAGUGAACAUCUAGGCAAGUUUUUAAACAUGCAAUAGUAGAGUGCUUUUGAAUGAAGUAAAGCACAGGUAGGAUAUCUAACAUACAAUAGUAUAAAGCAAAUACCUAUAGGCAUGUUAUCUACCCAACUUUACUCACAAUACCAUACAACUGCCCUCCCUUUUCACUAGUCACCCCAAUAUUUGUUUACAAUUAAUUAUUACAGACCAAUGAUUGAUUAAAAAUUACAUAAAUAAAAAUAUAAAUUAAGCUAUAGGAAACCUGAAGUAGGCCCAAAGAAAAUCCUGGUGUACCAGGCCUUUAGUAGUCUCAAAUGCCAAGGAUUUCAUAUCCCAAUUCAUGUCCAGGUGUGUCAGAGUUCCCUAAGGACCUCAAAGAUCCCGGGCAGUGCUCACACCCAGACUUUUUUCAAAUAAAGACUGAUUAUGUGCAGUGUGGAAGAGCCAGCCCUGAUAUGCCAAAGUUCAAAGAGAUCUCAAGGAUCUCUAGGCAGUACACAUACCAGCGGGGUAGAACUUAAUAAUCUAAGAGUAAGUGAGAGUGCUUAAAAAGACUUAGUGAAAACACUGUGGAGAUAACUUCUUAGGAGUAAAAGAUUUUCUGUAAUAGACCAGUUUUAAGAAAAAUGCUAGGAAUGAAACCAAUUUUAGAAGAACACAUUUGAAAACAGUUCAGAGGAGAGCAAAUUCAGUAGACAAUCAAUAGAUCAUCAAAGGUUCAAUUCCACUGACGUUUUAGCAAACAUGUUUGCACACAGGGGUGAAAGGGGGAUUGGGAACACAUGGAGAUCUUAUUGAGGGUGCAUGAAUGGAGUGCAGGGAGACAGAUAGGAAGUAAUACACAUAGAACACUUAUAACCUUAACAAAUUAACCAAGAUAGUAGGAAACUAAACAUGGAGAAAAGAUGUAGAGGAUAGACACACAAGCAAGAUUAACUAUAGGAAUGAUCACACAACUAGGCAUUACUUCAGUCAUGCUAUUUAAACAUUAGAUAAACAUGUGAAGUGUAAACAUAUUAGUUGCACGUAAAACAGGGCAGGAUUUUAGGCAUGCUUGAGCAAAGAAGUGAAUAAGAGAGUAGGUCAAAUUCACAACCAAUGAACUAAUGCAGGGAUGAAACACAUAGAGUUUGGGUGCCAAAUGUAGCUAGAUACAUACUGGUUGAGGGAAAAGAGUGCAGAAUAUAGAGAAAGUAGCCUCACUGUCUAGCCUUAACUAGACCCACAAUAGCACAAGUAACACAAGUAGCGAAGAAGGAGAAUAGUUUGAGUGUGUGUGUGUAUAUUGUGAACUGAUGUCUGUCCGAGAAACAGAACAGUGGCGGGGGGAGGGGGGUUAUAGUAUGUAAUAGAGUAGGACACAUAAGGUAAUGAGCCAAUCAUAUGCACAUAAAGUAUGGAAAUCAAUUAACAAUCACUCAUGACUCAAUUAAGGGACCAAAAUCUCAUAAAUGAUACUUAAUUUAAGGAAGUCUAAUACGAACUCCUUUAGUAAAUUAGAGCAAGGUUAAUAAGGUAAUAAAUAAUCAAACAAUCGAUCAAGUGAAGUCAGUCAUGAGUAAAUUAGCCUCAAAAUCAGACUACUAUUACUUAAUUUAAGGAAAAUUGUAUAUGGAAUCAAUCAGUAAUUAAGGGCUAGGUUAAAUAAGGCAAGAACUGACUCUGAAAUCAAUUAGAAGUUGGUUCUGAAAAUCAAAGCAUAAAAUCAGGCUAGCAGCACAAAUUAUUAAUUACACAUAAGGUAAGAAAACUAAUUAAGGUUGUAAACAAGGGAAAUAAUCAAGAAUCAACACAUAAGUUUUGACAGAGCAAAUCAGUAGAUCAAAAUUCAAAGUAGUACUGAUUUAUGGGGGGAAAUAUCAGUUUCCAAAAAUAGAUAGCUAGGCUAAAUAGAAUUUUAGAAAUUAGCCAAGAAAUCGAAUCAGAAACCCUAAUAGAGAUGCACUAGGGCAAAAAUCACAAGACGUUGAAUUAGACUAAAAGGAAAUCAUGAAAGUCAAAGCACAGACAAAACGAUGUAACAAGUAACACGGAAAAGACUCAGAAUCGAAGCAAAAUAUAAGAAAAUUAGGGUUUCAGCAUAAAUCGAUUAGGGUCCAGACAAUUUUAGCAGAAAUCAAUCAAUAAUACUUAAUAACAGAUGAUUAACAUUCGAAAAUCAGGAAAACUUUGAGAAGACGAGUUUCAGUAAACCCUAGUUUUAGGACGAAUGAAAAAUCACUUGAAAAAACAGGAAACUUUCAAGAAAACAUGUGAAGUACGUUCAAUCCGUCUCAGAUCUGAGAAAAUCAAAGAUGAAAUUAGGUUUUUUUUAGAAGUGAAAUAGAGAUGAGAACAUACACUUAAGAGUCCAUGGAUAAAAAUGAAAAAGAUCUUACUUAAGGUCGGGUCAAAUGGCCUGAAAUAGGCAAGAAAAUCCCAAAGUGUAAACAGACUGCCUAGGUCCCUUGAGAAUCUCCUCAAGGAUCCAAGAAAUGGAGAUAUCAUAGCAUAGGGGAGGUCAUUAGAGGCCUGGGGUGGUGAAUAUCUACCAUAGGAAGGCAGCCGGUGAAUGAGGGUGAAUUAGGGUUAGAGUUAGAGAGCAUUUGAGAGACGAGGGAACAGGUGACGGCGGGGAAAGAGUGAAAAAUGAUUAGGGUUUGGGGGUGUAUGUGGGUUUAAUUAUGGUAGGAAAUAUCCUGACCGUUGAACAAAAGUGAUCAACGGCCAGGAUUGGCCACGGUGUUUGGAUCGGGCAGGUGGAUAUUGGGCUGGUUUAUAAGGGAUAUUGGGCUGCUUAAUUUUAGGACAAAAUUGAAAUAAAAAAAGGCUAUUUAUUAAAUAUCCCAAACAAUUGAUUAAAAAUUAAUUUAUAAAAAUAAUUAUAAAUUAUAAAAAAUGAAUCUCGUGCAUAUAAAUGUUUUAAAUAUAGUUAUUUAGUAUUCAAAAAUACGGAGGACUAGUUUCUCAUAAAAUAAUACCAGAAAUAUACGCAUGGGUUAUAAUUGCAAAGUUAUUGCAAUUAUAACCAAAAGGUGCUAAUUUGGCUAUUUAUAAAAUAAUUUGGACUCACUAGGACCUAUAAUAGUAAUAUUAAAUCAAGACAUGUUCUAAAUUCAUUUGUGAUGUAAUUUUACAACUAUUUAUAUGAAGAAAAUAUUGAAAUAAAUUAAUUUAAGGAUGUAAGAAUUACGGAAAAAUACUCUUGGAUGCUAAUGCAUAGUUUUAAAGGUAUAUAUGCAUUUUAAAAAUAUUAUAGGGAAAAAUUGGGUAUCAACGAGCAUGACUGAUGAUUACAAAUUGCUAUACUUCGCUUCAAACAUACAUACACUUCGAGAGAUCGAAUCAGCUACUGCCCCAGGUGGUAGGGAUAGUGGAUGCUUACUAAUUAGUAUGUGUAAAGGUAAUGAAGCAUUUGGGAUAACCAGGAUCUAAGCAAGUUAGAGCCAUAAAACAAACAUGAAGCAUGGACAUCACCAAUAGAAUUUCUAGAGUAGCACCCAUAAGAUCAACAUCCUUCAAAGCUCAGAGAAGAUAGUUAAGAAACAACCCUAGUCCGCAUUAUUAAAUUCCUUUCUCCAAAGAAAAGUUUUCUCAAUCAUCACAAAACCUUCUUCAGCUUGAACUAAGUUCUCGUGAAAGAUAUGCCUAAAGAGGAUUACUAAAUGACGUAUCCUUUAGCUCCCCUGUAGUUGUGCUUUUUAACUAAAUUAUAAUCCUACCCCCCCCCCCCUUUUUUUUUGUCAAACACCUAAUAAAUCAUUAGGAGGUUUAUUUUGUUUUUAGUAAGGCAUUAGAAAUCUAUAUUAUAUUAAAAGGAGGGUAGUAUGCAUUGUGGUUAAGCCAAGUGGCAAGCUAAAAUGAAGUCACUUGGCAAUUUUAGGACAACAUUAAUAAUUAAAAAUUAUAAAUAAAAACACAAUUAAUGUAAAUAGUUUAAUAAAUCUUAUACAUAAUUAUAUUUGUAUCUAUAUCUAUAUCUGUGUCUAUAUUUUGAUUCACUCAUAGAUUUUCUUCUAUAUUAGCUAGAAAUAUGGAGGUAAAAAAUUAAUUAAAAAUUUGAAAAACUAUAAUUGAAAAAAUAAAAAAUAUAGAAACACGUAAAUUGAGAUAACCUAUGACUAUUUAUAUUUCGGAGUAUGUUAAAAUAUAAAAUAAAACUAAAUUUUACUUAAGAUAUUAAGGAUUUAUUGAGUAUAAAAAUUAAAUAAAUUCAAGUAGCAAAAUAAGAUCUUACAUAAAGUAUACAAAUUAUAUAUAAGGUAAGAAAAAAAUUAAAUAAUAAGUAAAAAAUAUUUUAAUGACAAGAAUAAUAAAGUCAUAUUAAUAUUAAUAAAUCGGGCAAACAAAUAUUUUAUAUGUAAAUAGUACUACAACAUUUAGAGGUGCUAGGUAUAUCAAAGGGUUUUUCUGGCAGGCACCAAGGCGACUAGUGGUGGAAUGACGUAGUCCAAGGUAAAGUGGAGGCGAAGAAGGUAGCGUACGCGAAGUUGGCAGGGAGCACAAGCGAGGAGGAGAGGAGAGCGAAUAGAGAGAGGUACAAAAUGGCUAGGAAGGAGGCAAAGCUGGCGGCCACGGAGGCUAAGAAUGUAGCGUUUAGUCGUCUAUACAAGGAAUUGGGGGAGAAAGGCAGGGACAGGAUGUUGUUUCGGCUAGCUAAAGCGAGGGAGAGGAACGCCCGGGAUCUGGACCAAGUAAGGUGCAUCAAAGAUGAGGAUGGUAGAGUAUUGAUGGGGGACGUCCCAGAUUAAGCAGAGAUGGUAGACGUACUUCUAUUGUCACGACCUUAAACCCGAAUCCGGUCGUGAUGGCGCCUCUCAUGAAGACAAGGCCAGCCAAUUAAACCCAACUCAAUUUUUAAAAUAAUUACACAAUGUAAAAGCAGUCUAAAACAUGAUUUAAUAAUACUAAGUAGCGGACAUUAUCAAUAAGGUGCGGAAGUACACCAACACAGACCUAACCGGGGUGUCACAAGUCACGAGCAUCUAACAACACAGAAUACUCAAACGUAACAACAGAGUUAAAUAAUAAACUAAGGACAUAAAGGAAAAGAGAUAGGGAGGAGCUCCGAGCUUCAAACGCCAACAGCUACCUAAAGACUCCUCGAGAUCUGCCUAAAGCUGGAAUGAAUCAGCACUCGGGAGCGGGACCAGCUACGCCUGAAUCUGCACACAGGGUGCAGGGAGUAAAGUGAGUACUUUAACUUAGUGAGUAACAAAUGUAAAUAACGACUGAAAGUAAGAAAACACGUAAGCCACAAGGCAUUCUAUAAUGAAGCAGUAAAACCAUUUAAAAGCAGUAAACCAGUGAAAAGUAAGAAAAUUUCUUUUUGGACAAAUAAACAGGUAAUUGGCAGGCAGUUAAGGUAAAUUAAACAAAUAGAAGUUUGCCCCUCGGGCACAGUAUCAACCACUCCGCCCCUCGGGCAAACAUCUCAGAACAGUACCAGCCCCUCGGGCUCAAUCUCACAUCACAAUAGGUAUCCGCGCUCACUGGGGGUGUGCAGACUCCUGGAGGGGCCCCUUACGGCCUAAGCACAAUAACAAGUCAUCUCGUGGCAUCAAAACUAGGCCCUCGGCCUCAUAUCAAUCAAGCCACCUCGUGGCGUACAUAUCUCAGGCCCUCGGCCUCAAAUCAGUAUCAGUGUUUCCUCACAACAUAGGCCCUCGGACUUACUCAGUCCGAAAAUCAUCAUAAGCCCCUCAGAAAUUAGUAAAACAGUAUCUCUCAGCCCAAAACAUCAUUUAAAAUAUCAUUUAAAUUUCAAAACUGAGUAAAAAUGGCUUAGUAGUAAAACAGUGGAAAAUAACAUGACUGAGUUCAAGUAAUAAGGCAAAACAGUAAGAAAAUAGUAAUAAAAAUCCCGAAGGGUUCAAAUAGUUGGCAUGAAGCCCAAAUAUGGCAUUAAGCCCAAAUCAUGAUGAUAGCAAAUAAGUUUCAGUCAAAUACACGGUAAAAAUUAUCAACCGGGACGGACCAAGUCAUAAUCCCCAAUAGUGCACGACCCCACGCUCGUCAUCAAGCGUGUGUCUCACCUCAAUAUAGCACUACAAUGUGCAAUCCGGGAUUUCAAACCCUUAGAACAUCAUUUACAAUCAUUACUCACCUCGAACUGGCUAAAUCUCUAGCUCGCGACUCCUUUGCCCCUCGAAUCGGCCUCCACGCGCAUCAAAUCUAUCCAAAAUCAGAAUAAGGACGUCAAAAUAUGCUAAGGGAACGAAGCCCAAGCAAAAACUAUCAAUAAAGGGCACAAAUUCCAAAAUUACCAAAACCCGACCCCCGGGCCUACAUCUCGAAAUUCAGAAAUAUUUACACCAAUAGAUUCCUUAUCUUCCCACAAGUUCAUACAUAUCAAAAGUUCAGAAAUCCGACCUCAAAUGGUCCAUCAAAUCCUCAAUCAUAGGUCUCCAAUACUAAACCCUAGUUUCCCCAAAUUUCACCCUUAAUUUCCAUAAUUUCUAGCUUUAAACCGUGAAAUAAUAGCAUAGGAAUGAGUUUAAAGUCCAAAUCUCUUACCUCAAUGAAGUUUCCUUAAAAUCUCUCUUUCAAUUCGUCCAAAAAGCUCCCAAGCUGAAGUCAAAAAUGGUGAAAUAACUCAAAAUUUGCGAAGGGGACAAUUUAUACCUUCUGCCCAGACAUUUUCGCAUCUGCGACCCUUUAACCGCUUUUGCGGAACUGCAUUUGCGGUCAUCCCUCCGCUUCUGCGGAAAUCACUAACUAGCCCAAAAUCGCAUCUGCGAUAAGCCUUCCGCAUCUGCGGAGUCGCAAAUGCGGCCAUCCUAACCGCUUCUGCGGUUCCUGACAUUCUUCCAUAAUCCGCUUAUGCGGUUCCUCUUCCGCACGUGUGGCGCCGCACCUGCGGUCCCCAAUCCGCAGGCGCAAAAAUACUAGAAACAACAAAUUCAGUUGCUGCAACAAAAAUCCAACUUCUCCUUUAACCAUCCGAAAUCACCCCGAGGCCUCCAGGACCUCAACCAAAAGCACAAACAUAACUCAAUACCUUAUUCAAACUUGUUCUAAUCAUCAAAUAACAUCAAAUCACCCAAAACACAUCGAAUCCAAGCUAAACUUUCUAAAAGAUUUCCGCUUUUGAUCAAAAACCCAACCAAAUCACGUCCGAAUGACCUGAAAUUUUGCACACACAUCCCAAAUGACCCAACGGAACUACUGCCACUCUCGAAAUUCCAUUCCGACCCCUAUAUCAAAAUCUCGCUGAUCAACCGAAAAUCGCCAAAAUAUCAAUUUCACCAAUUCAAGCCUAAAUCUACUCUGCACCUCCAAAACACAAUCGAUCACACACCUAAGUCAUAAAUUACCUCCCGAAGCUAACUGAACCAUCGGAACUCACAUCUGAGUCCUCUAAAACAUAAGUCAAUAUCCGGUUGGCUUUUCCAACUUAACUUUCCUUAAAAGAGACUAAGUAUCUCAAACUUUACCAAAAUUAUUCCGGAUUUGAUCCGACCAACCCCAUACCACAAAACACGGAUAACAAAGCAUAAAGAAGCAGAAAUGGGGGAAACGGAGCGGUAACUCAUGAGACGACUAGUCAGGUCGCCACAUCCUCCUCAACUUAAACAAACGUUUGUCCUUGAACGAGUCAAAAAACAUACCUGAAGCCUUAAACGGGUAAGGAUAUCUGCUCCGCAUCUCCCCAUCGGUCUCCCAGGUAGCCUUCUCUACGGGCCGACCUCUCCACUGCACCUUCACUGAAGCUAUAUCCUUUGACCUCAACUUCCGAACCUAACGACCCAAAAUAGGUACUAGCUCCACAUUAUAGGUCAAAUCAUCAUCCAACUGAACCGUGCUGAAAUCCAGAAUAUGAGACGGAUCCCCAAUAUACUUCCGGAGCAUAGAAACAUGAAAUACUGGAUGCACGCUCGACAAGCUGGGUGGCAAAGCAAGCUCAUAAGCCACCUCACCAAUCCUCCGAAGCACCUCAAAAGGCCUAAUAAAUCGCGGACUCAAUUUCCCUUUCUUCCCAAAUCUCAUAACACCCUUUAUGGGUGAAACCUUCAACAGAACCUUCUCGCCAACCAUGUACGACAUAUUUCGAACCUUCCUAUCAGCAUAACUCUUUUGCCUCGACUGCGCUGUACGAAGCCUCUCCUGAAUCACCUUCACAUUCUCCAAAGCAUCCUGCACCAAAUGGAGCCAUCUGAAUACUCGACUGGUAGUUGUUGUUAUAAGCAAACUCUGCAAGCGGUAGAAACUCAUCCCAUGAUCCUCCAAAAUCAAUGACACAAGCACGUAACAUGUCUUCCAAUAUCUGAAUAGUGCGCUUGGACUGCCCGUCCGUCUGAGGAUGAAAAGUUGUGCUCAACUCCACUUGAGUACCCAACUCUCUCUGCAUGACCCUCCAAAACUGCAAAGUAAACUGAGUACCUCUAUCUGAAAUGAUGGAAACCGGAACACCAUGCAAGCGAACUAUCUCUUGGAUAUAGAUCCCUGCCAACCGCUUUGAAGAAUAGGUAGUACACACAGGAAUGAAUUGCGCGGACUUGGUCAGCCAAUCCAUAAUCACCCAAAUAGCAUUGAACUUCAUCAAAGUCCGCAGAAGUCCAACAACAAAGUCCAUAGUGAUCCUCCCCCACUUCCACUCUGGAAUAUCUAUCUGCUGAAGCAAGCCACCCGGUCUUUAAUGCUCAUGUUUCACCUACUGACAAUUAAGACACCGAGCUACAAAUCCCACAAUAUCUUUCUUCAUUCUUCUCCACCAAUAAUGCUGCCUCAAAUCCGGAUACAUCUUCGUAGCACCCGGAUGAAUGGAAUACUGCGAGCUCUAGGCCUUCUCCAGGAUCAACUCCUGAAGCCCAUCCACAUUAGGCACACAAAUCCGGCCAUGUAUCCUCAACACCCCAUUAUCACCAAUGGUCACAUCUCUAGCAUCAUCAUGCUGAACUUUGUCCCUAAGGACAAGCAAAUGCGGAUCAUCAUAUUGGCGCUCUCUGAUGCGAUCAUAUAAAGAAGAUCGAGAAACCAUACCAGUCAAUACCCGACUGGGCUCCGAAAGAUCUAACCUCACAAACUGAUUGGCCAAGGCUUGAACAUCAAUUCCAAGAGGUCUCUCCCCAAUUGGAAUAUAUGUCCAACUCCCCAUACUCACUACCUUUCGGCUCAAAGCAUCGGCCACCACAUCGGUCUUUCCCGGAUGAUACAAUAUAAUGAUAUCAUAAUCCUUAAGCAACUCAAACCAUCUCUGCUGCCUCAAAUUAAGAUCUUUUUGCUUAAACAAAUGCUGAAGACUGCGAUGAUCAGUGAACACCUCACAAGAUACGCCAUACAGAUAAUGCCUCCAAAUCUUCAAUGCGUGAACUAUGGCAGCCAACUCCAAAUCAUGAACGGGGUAGUUCUUCUCAUUGGGCUUCAACUAACGAGAAGCAUAAGCAAUAACUCUACCCUCUUGCAUCAACACAUAACCAAUCCCAACUCUCGAAGCAUCACAAUACACUGUAUAUGAACCUGAAGCUGAUGGCAAAACCAACACUGGAGUUGUGGUCAAAUCUGUCUUGAGCUUCUAAAAGCUCUCCCCCCACUCGUCCGACCAUACAAAUGAAGCACCCUUCUAAGUCUUGGUCAAGGGCGAUGUGAUAGAUGAGAAUCCCUAAACAAACCGGCUAUAAUAGCCUACCAAACCAAGAAAGAUGUGAAUCUCUGUAGCUGAGGACGGUCUGGGCCAACUCUGAAUUGCCUCUAUCUUCUUCGAAUCAACCUAAAUACCCUCGUUGGACACCACGUGCCCCAAGAAAGCCACUGAACUGAGCUAAAACUCACACUUGGAUAAUUUUGCAUAAAGAUUCUCCUCCCUCAAUCUCCGCAACACAACUCUCAAAUGCUCCGCGUGCUUCUCUUGACUACGCGAAUACACCAGAAUAUCAUCAAUGAAGACUAUGAUAACCAAUGAGUAACCAAUGGGUCAACUUUUACAUUUAUAAAGCCUCAAAUUGGGGGUUACUCAAGUUAGGGAGACUAAGAAUUCUCCCAAAAGUAAUCAUAUACAAGAAGUCAUAGAUAACCCAUAUUAUCUGCCGGUUAUCCCAUUUUUUAUCCGUAUUAAAUAUGGAUCGGGUCAAAUAAUUGAUCCAUAUUUUCAUUACCCGUUUUCAGCCCGAACCAUAUCCGACCCGCCCAUUUGUCACUCCUACUUGUUGCAUAUGAAUAUAGAAACCUCAUAAACUCAACGUUUAAUGCUCAUAUAAGUGAUGAUGAUGAGCACCUUACAAAUGCGGAUUGAGCUAAUGUUAAAAUGCUUGUAGAUUUUUUAGAAAAAUUUCAUACUGCUACAAAUAAAUUUUCUGGGCAAUAUUAUCCUACUAUUUCUAACUGUUUAGUUUAUAUUGCAGAACUUGCAAAUUUGUUUGCUCAUUUUUCAGAGGGUGGGAUAAUUUAUGAACUUGCUAUUGAUUCUAUGAAAAAAAAAAUUAAAAAUAUUUUUUUCCUAUUCCCCAUAUUUAUGGUGUUGCUGCCUUGUUAAAUUCUACUACGAAAUUAGGAGGUCCACAAUUUUCGUAUGAAACUGUUUAUAAUGGUUUAGCACUUGAAGAUGAGGAGUUGUCUAAACUUCCAGAUGUAAUAGCCUCAAUUAAAAUAAAUGCUCAAACUAUUUAUAAUGCUUAUCAAGUUCCAUUAGAUUAUGCUAGACCAAAUGUUCCAACUCCUUCUUCUUCUAGUUCUCAAUCAUCUAAAAGAACUGUGGGAGUAAGAGCACUUAGUGCUUGGACGGGGUUCUCAAGGUUCUAUUACUAUUGAUUUUUCACAACUAAAUGAGUUUGAAGUUUAUUUGUCACAGGGAAUUGACGAAGUGAAUCCCAACGGCUCCUUUAGUAUUUUGGAAUAGUGGAAGGACAAAGAAAAUCACUUUUCGAUUCUUUCAAGGAUGGCCCGAGAUAUUUUAACUAUUCAAGAUUUAACAGUGGCAUCAGAGAACGCUUUCAGUCAAGCAAGACUUCAACUCGGUGAUUAUAGAGCGUCUAUGAUGGAGAGCUUGGAAAAAUCAGUACUUUUUAGAGAUUGAAUCCGUUCGGAAAGAAGAAAUUUUGGACUUGAUGAAUCACAACCAGAGGUAGAUGAAGCUUACGAAGAAAUGCUAGCUCAACUUGCGGAGUAUGUUGGUUUGCCCAGAAGCGGCGAUGACCAAGAUUAUUUUUCGCCACCACCAACGAAAAUUCCUCCGGACCUUGAAGGAUUUAUGAAAUUUGUAAGAGAUACCAUGUAACUUGUAUGAACAAAAAUUAAUAUGUAACUUGUAUUUUGGCACAUCUUGAUUAGUUUCUUUUUCUUCUCAAUGGUGAUAUUAGCACCUUGUUGUGGUCAUUCUAUAGGAUGGGAG